Molecule: ribosomal RNA, 253 nt
Filed under: uncultured bacterium
Lineage: Bacteria
Description: partial 16S ribosomal RNA
Rfam family: Bacterial small subunit ribosomal RNA
Source: RNAcentral
UACGUAGGCAGCAAGCGUUGUUCGGAGUUACUGGGCGUAAAGGGUGUGUAGGCGGUUGUUUAAGUUUGGUGUGAAAUCUCCCGGCUCAACUGGGAGGGUGCGCCGAAUACUGAAUGACUAGAGUGCGGGAGAGGAAAGUGGAAUUCCUGGUGUAGCGGUGAAAUGCGUAGAUAUCAGGAGGAACACCGGUGGUGUAGACGGCUUUCUGGACCAUUACUGACGCUGAGGAGCGAAAGCCAGGGGAGCAAACGGG